AAGACUAUACUUCACAGGAUCAUUUCUGUAGUCAGUCUUCUUUUACUUUAAAUGCAAAGUAAACACAACUUUACCCGCGAUGAGGAGGUAUAUCGGUUUGUCUGUAGCGUGAGGAUAUGAGUAUUCUCCCUGAUCUGAUUCGUAUCAGAGUUUUGGGAAAAUAUUCUUCGAUGAUCGCUCGGUUAAACAGGCAAAACGACUUCUGAGUGGU
Molecule: small nucleolar RNA, 211 nt
Filed under: Teleopsis dalmanni
Lineage: Eukaryota; Metazoa; Arthropoda; Insecta; Diptera; Diopsidae
Description: small nucleolar RNA U3
Rfam family: Small nucleolar RNA U3
About the family: Small nucleolar RNAs (snoRNAs) are involved in the processing and modification of rRNA in the nucleolus. There are two main classes of snoRNAs: the box C/D class, and the box H/ACA class.
Source: RNAcentral